ACAACCUGGUCCUCAGUGUAGCCCAGGGUGCCCUUUAGUGAGUCCUCAGAUACCUGCUUCACCACCUUCUUGAUGUCAUCAUACUUGGCAGGUUUCUCCAGAAGGCAUGUCAGAUCCACAAUGGAUACACAGAAGGCCAUGCCAGUGAACUUCCCAUUCAACUCUGAGAUGACCUUGCCCACAGCCUUGGCAGUACCAGUGGAUACAGGCAUGAUGUUCUGGGCUGCCCCACGGCCAUCACACCACAGCUUUCCAGAGGGGCCAUCCACAGUCUUCUGAGUGGCUGUGAUGGCGUGGACUGUGGUCAUGAGCCCUUCCACGAUGCCAGAGUUGUCAUGGAUGACCUUGGCCAGGGAGGCUAAACAGUUGAUGGUGCAAGAUGCAUUACUGACAGUCUUGAGUGAAUUGUCAUAUUUCACUCUUGAGUGAGUUGCCAUAUUUCUCG
RNAcentral lists this long non-coding RNA (445 nucleotides) under Rattus norvegicus (Norway rat). RNAcentral's name for it is "long non-coding RNA NONRATT010136". The record is from RNAcentral. Lineage: Eukaryota; Metazoa; Chordata; Mammalia; Rodentia; Muridae.